UUUAUGGAGAGUUUGAUCCUGGCUCAGGAUGAACGCUGGCGGCGUGCCUAAUACAUGCAAGUCGAGCGAACGGACGAGAAGCUUGCUUCUCUGAUGUUAGCGGCGGACGGGUGAGUAACACGUGGAUAACCUACCUAUAAGACUGGGAUAACUUCGGGAAACCGGAGCUAAUACCGGAUAAUAUUUUGAACCGCAUGGUUCAAAAGUGAAAGACGGUCUUGCUGUCACUUAUAGAUGGAUCCGCGCUGCAUUAGCUAGUUGGUAAGGUAACGGCUUACCAAGGCAACGAUGCAUAGCCGACCUGAGAGGGUGAUCGGCCACACUGGAACUGAGACACGGUCCAGACUCCUACGGGAGGCAGCAGUAGGGAAUCUUCCGCAAUGGGCGAAAGCCUGACGGAGCAACGCCGCGUGAGUGAUGAAGGUCUUCGGAUCGUAAAACUCUGUUAUUAGGGAAGAACAUAUGUGUAAGUAACUGUGCACAUCUUGACGGUACCUAAUCAGAAAGCCACGGCUAACUACGUGCCAGCAGCCGCGGUAAUACGUAGGUGGCAAGCGUUAUCCGGA
RNAcentral lists this ribosomal RNA (566 nucleotides) under Staphylococcus aureus. Its description in RNAcentral is "bacterial SSU rRNA". It matches the Rfam family "Bacterial small subunit ribosomal RNA", at positions 1 to 549 of the family's 1533-position model. The record is from RNAcentral. Lineage: Bacteria; Bacillati; Bacillota; Bacilli; Caryophanales; Staphylococcaceae.